Molecule: unclassified non-coding RNA, 297 nt
Filed under: Basidiomycota sp.
Lineage: Eukaryota; Fungi; Basidiomycota
Description: partial contains small subunit ribosomal RNA, internal transcribed spacer 1, and 5.8S ribosomal RNA
Rfam family: Eukaryotic small subunit ribosomal RNA (bases 1-47)
Source: RNAcentral
AAAGUCGUAACAAGGUUUCCGUAGGUGAACCUGCGGAAGGAUCAUUAUUGAAUAAACAUGGUGGGUUGUAGCUGGCUCCUCGGAGCAUGUGCACGCCUGUCGUCUUUAUCCAUCCACCUGUGCACACAUUGUAGUCUUCGAGGUAUGAUUAGCGACAGCUGUCGCGGGGCCCUAGGCCCAUCGUCCUCUGAAGUCUAUGUUUAUCAUAAACCACGUAGUCAGUCGCAGAAUGAAGUAUUUGGGCCUUAGUGCCUAUAAAACAAAAUACAACUUUCAGCAACGGAUCUCUUGGCUCUC